Molecule: transfer RNA, 87 nt
Filed under: Nitrospiraceae bacterium
Lineage: Bacteria; Pseudomonadati; Nitrospirota; Nitrospiria; Nitrospirales; Nitrospiraceae
Also listed under: 1 other name
Description: tRNA-Leu
Rfam family: tRNA
About the family: Transfer RNA (tRNA) molecules are approximately 80 nucleotides in length. Their secondary structure includes four short double-helical elements and three loops (D, anti-codon, and T loops).
Source: RNAcentral
GCUCGGGUGGCGGAACAGGCAGACGCAGCGGACUCAAAAUCCGCCGGGGGUGACCCCAUAGGAGUUCGAUUCUCCUCCCGAGCACCA